CUGAGCAGGUCCUCCUAAGGAGCGUCAGCCCGACAGGGACACCACGCUGAGCCCAGGCUGGGUCAGCGGAACCAGAGUCCACCUGCAGACCCACGAACAGGAGAUCUUGCUCACUUCUGGGAAAUCUGUGAGGCAGGGCCUGCUUUGUCCCCCCGGAGGACAGCUGGGGGACUCGGCCUAUCCCCUCCAGCUGGGUCAGCACCUGCUGUGCCGCACACCGGCUCCUCACACGCCAGUGGGAGUGCACCCUUUUCCACUGAGAAUCUUCAGCUUCCGUCCGUGAUUGUUGGCUGAAUCCAGAGAGAAGUAGAAAG
Molecule: long non-coding RNA, 314 nt
Organism: Lemur catta (Ring-tailed lemur)
Lineage: Eukaryota; Metazoa; Chordata; Mammalia; Primates; Lemuridae
Exons: 3
Source: RefSeq, a predicted model, not a curated record